RNAcentral lists this ribosomal RNA (1052 nucleotides) under Episcapha opaca. RNAcentral describes it as "16S ribosomal RNA". The stretch from base 841 to 1000 matches the Rfam family "Archaeal large subunit ribosomal RNA", at positions 2542 to 2701 of the family's 2987-position model. The record is from RNAcentral. Lineage: Eukaryota; Metazoa; Arthropoda; Insecta; Coleoptera; Erotylidae.
CUCGAAUUAAAAAGAGCUAAAUGUAAUAUUUUAUAGAUGUAGAAUAAUUUUAUAAAAAUUAUAUUUGGUAAUGAAACGUUAAUCGUUUUUUUAGAUAUCUAGUUUUUUAAGAAAAAAAUUUAAUUUUAUAAUAAAUUAUUAAUUUAUUAAUUUAUUAAUAUUUUAUUAAUUAUUAUAAAUAUUUUUAGGGAUGAGCUUAAGAAUAAAUUUUUAAAAAUUUUGAUUUUUAAAUAAUAUAUAGGAUUAAAAAUUUUCAUUAUUAAUAUUUUGUUAUAAUUAGUUAUUAAUUUAUAUUAUUUAUAUAAAAUUUUAAAUAGUUUAUUAAAAUAUUUUUUUAAACUUAUAAAAUUAAGAAAUUAUAAUAAAAUUAGUAUAAUUUUAUGUAUAUUUAAAAGUAAUUGGUAGGUUAAUUAAAGUAAUUCGGCAAAUUAAUUUUUCACCUGUUUAUUAAAAACAUGUCUUUUUGAUAAUAAUUUAAAGUCUGGCCUGCCCAUUGAAAGUUUUAACGGCCGCAGUAUUUUGACUGUGCAAAGGUAGCAUAAUCAAUAGUUUUUUAAUUGAAAGCUGGUAUGAAGGGUUGAAUGAAAAAAUUACUGUCUCUAUAUAAUUUAAUUAGAAUUUUAUUUUUAAGUAAAAAAGCUUAAAUAUUAUUUAAAGACGAGAAGACCCUAUAGAGUUUAAAAUUUAAAUUUUAUUUUAUAUUUUUAGUAUUUAUCAUAAAAAUUAAUUUAAAUUUUUGAUUGGGGUGAUUUAAAAAUUAAAUAAACUUUUUAUAAUUUUAUACAUUUAUAUAUGAAUAUUUGAUCCAAUAAAUUUGAUUAAAAGAUAAAUUACCUUAGGGAUAACAGCGUUAUUUUUUUUGAGAGUUCUUAUCGAAAAAAAAGGUUGCGACCUCGAUGUUGGAUUAAAAUAAAAUUUUGGUGUAGAAGCUAGAAUAAUUAGGUCUGUUCGACCUUUAAAAUUUUACAUGAUCUGAGUUUAAACCGGUGUAAGCCAGGUUGGUUUCUAUCUUGAAUAAGUUAAAAUAUUUUAGUACGAAAGGACCAAAUAUU